RNAcentral lists this transfer RNA (68 nucleotides) under Suillia sp. HeleYD1. RNAcentral describes it as "tRNA-Phe". The record is from RNAcentral. Lineage: Eukaryota; Metazoa; Arthropoda; Insecta; Diptera; Heleomyzidae.
AUUCAAAUAGCUUAUAAAUUAGAGUAUAGCAUUGAAGAUGCUAGGGAGAUUAUUUAAAUCUUUGAAUA